RNAcentral lists this ribosomal RNA (253 nucleotides) under uncultured bacterium. Its description in RNAcentral is "partial 16S ribosomal RNA". It matches the Rfam family "Bacterial small subunit ribosomal RNA", at positions 524 to 776 of the family's 1533-position model. The record is from RNAcentral.
UACGUAGGGUGCAAGCGUUAAUCGGAAUUACUGGGCGUAAAGCGUGCGCAGGCGGUUGUGCAAGUCAGAUGUGAAAUCCCCGGGCUCAACCUGGGAACUGCAUUUGUGACUGCACGGCUGGAGUGCGGCAGAGGGGGAUGGAAUUCCGCGUGUAGCAGUGAAAUGCGUAGAUAUGCGGAGGAACACCGAUGGCGAAGGCAGCCCCCUGGGCCAACACUGACGCUCAGGCACGAAAGCGUGGGGAGCAAACAGG